This 7077-nucleotide long non-coding RNA is filed under the name Ananas comosus (pineapple). Its description in RNAcentral is "long non-coding RNA (ACOM_LNC042043)". The record is from RNAcentral. Lineage: Eukaryota; Viridiplantae; Streptophyta; Magnoliopsida; Poales; Bromeliaceae.
CCUAUUUGGCCGGUUUCGGGCACGCCGACAGACCGCCGAACGGACAGGGUUUCCCCGGUACCGCGGACAGAGUCUCCCCUGUACAUUCAAGGCGUCGCAAUCAAUACAAUGUACAAAGUUCCAACCAGGAACACAUUUCAAUCAAAGAUUGCAUAAGGAAGUAUCAAAAACAUAAUCUACUUGUUAUUACAAGCAUUCACAUUCAUACAUUUUACAUCCCAAAUACUUAUUACAUUCAACUUCCAAAUACAAUCCGAUUUAACAUGAUUAUUACAACUUGAUUCUUUUCAUUUUCUACAACCCUAAGCAAAGCCGACUCAGGGUACCGCUAUCUCUGGUCUCGGUGGUAGGGCGCUAACUAUGAUGCUACGCCCUCGCCUCGCGCCGCCGCGCCGCUCACGUGUGAACCUGUAACACCCCAAAACCACGUGGGGUGAGAACCAACUCCAUGGUUCCCAGUGGGUACGGCCACCCAAGGGAAAAGCUCGACCAAUAGGUCCAAGGGAGGCAACUGCAAGUUAGUUCAAUAAACAGAUAGAUAUAUAUCUUGAUUAUGCAACGAAUAAAACCAUGCAUUGCCUCACGAAUGCAAUAUGAAGAUCAUGCAAUGAUGCGACUAUACAAUCAACUAGUAAUUCAAUCGAUUACUACUUUCAUCCAAUUGACAUUUAAGGUUUUCUGUCAUUUACCAUUUUAAUCAUAAAGUUUCAUCUAUCUUUACAAAGCUAACCGCCCGACUCGGUCUUGAGUCAAUCGUCUGCGGAGUACCGCACAAAGCCAGGCCCGAGGCGAAGGACGUCUCACUUGCACCUCGGCCUUAAAUCCCCUCAACUAGGACAUCACUAUAGCUCAUAAGUUUAUUACCCAAUCACUUGGCUAACCCGAAGGUUUCGCCCUCAACAAACUCACCAACCCAAAAUCCCAUUAACCGGGGAGAUACCCGCUACAACCCGGUGGGACCGUCCUCUGGGGAGAUACCCGCUACAACCCAGUGAUGUCGACUCCGGAGCACAUCGCCCGAGGGGGAGCUACCACAACCUCGAGCAAGGACUAAAGGUGAGUAUGAUCAAUGAUCAAAUCCAAAAUCUUGAGGAUGUCAAGUUCAAUCCAUUCCUUAACUUUAGGAAGACUAUGCUCAAAUGACCCUAACUCUAGGGUUGAAAUGUCAUAAUAUUUCCAUCAUUCUUUUCUUUGCAUUCUUUACUAUCACUUGUGUCAUAUACACUACUAUAUUCUUGGACUCAUGCCACACUUGUUUUCUAAGUGUUCAACAUACCAUAAGUGUUUCCACUAUACUAAUCAUAUGCCACUCGAUCUAAUAUAUAUAGAUUGUCCACGUCACAUAUCAUAGUUCAUAUGUCAUUGUUUUUCAAUGUCGAGUUCUCUAAUUCACCUAGAGUUUAUCGACCCAAGUUCAACAUGCAUGUGUCAUUUAACAUAAUCCACAAUAUGUCAAUAUACAUUCAUCUAGUAUAUUCUACAAUAAAUCAACAUGCACUCAUUCAUCAUAUUCCACAAUAUGUCUACAUAUAUAUGCCAACCAUUCAUAUGCCAUCCAACAUGUUCCAUAAUUUAUCAACAUGCAUAUUACCUCUAACAUAUUACUAUAACAUUAUUUUCAUGCAUUCAUGUAACAAUUAACUCAUGCAUUCAUUUAGCAUUAUUUAACUUGCAUCUUAUCAUUACGCAUUUCUACUUGGCAUUUACAUUAACAUGCAUCAUUUUCAUACUUCAUUUACAUCUAUAUGCAUCAACAUGGAUUCUUAAUUUGCUUAGACAUAAAGGCGACCUAGUCGCUUCGGUAAGCACAACCCACCUUAACUCGCGUUCCGAUUGCUUGUAGUCACUUGCAAUCGGCCUCCCGCAGCACCCGGCACCCGGUUUGGCCCGAUCUCUCGCGCGACCACCCGAACGGCCUCUAAUCCACGAUCCGAAAAUUAAGGGUCUUCGGUUAUGUGCCACGAUACUUCAAAUCUAUUUCCACGAUUUUACGACGUCGCCUCGGCCCUCCCGGCGGACCCGAAGCCUAAACGUCCAUUUCUUUAAUAACUUUGUAACGGCUCGUCGGAUUGCCGAACCGUCUUCGCCAACGCGUUCGUUUACCUAGCAAUUUGGUUUACGGAGCGUCAAAUGAGAUCAAACCCAUAUAUUUUACAAAACCCCAUUCGGAGCCCUAACAUGCAAUUAACCUCUACAUAGUCCAAAUUAAAUAGAGAGAGCAUGUUUAGAAUGCUCAUUAGAGGCUAUUAGAACACUUAGAACUAAGGAUUAAGCCAAAUUCUAAAAGCUUACCUCAAUGUGAACGCCGCGACGAAAACACGCCGCUCCAACGGGCGCACGAAAGCUCAAUCCGUCGCCUUCAACGCGUUCGCAAGCAUUUUCUCCACCAACCCCGCGAAUUUGAGCGAGAGAUAUAGAGAGAUGAGAGAGAAAUCUAGAGAGAGAAAGGGAGUCUCCCUACCAUGUAUGCGGGUUGGUGGUGGCGUGUAUGGUGGUCGGCUGAAGGAGAAGAAGCAAAAGCUUCUUUAUACAUUACACCCCAAAACACUAUUCACUCCAGGACAGUUUAGCAGUUCGGAGCAGUUGGAGCCCUUUUGGAUGUCCGUUUGGGCUCAAAUUUGACAGGCAGGCUCGGUUUAACGUACUGAGUAAGAAUAUAUCUUAAGUUUUCAGUUUCGAUCUCGUUUGGUCACUGAAAACUAUACCGAACUGUAAUCUUUAUCAGAUAGCCGUCGGAUUUUAUUUCUCACUCUACGGGUGUCAGAAAAAUAUGAAACUUCAAAUCUAGCCUCAUAAAAAUAUUUCUGACUUAUUCUCCAAUUUUCAUAAUUUUCUGAGACUGUGCAUUUUCUGCUAAUUUAUCUGUCCCGUUUCCAACAGAAAAUUCUAAAUCUUCUGUUUUCAUUCCGAUUUCAGCACAAGUCACUUCUGACUUAUGUUUUACUUCUACAAAUCCAAUAAAAAUAGUUUCUCACACUAUUUUUAUUUAUUUUUAUUUUUACACCAAAAUCUGGUAUGUUACAUUCUCCACCUCUUAAAAGAAUUUCGUCCGCGAAAUUCAAACCAUGCCUCAAUUCAGCUCCACGAGCAAUUGAGGGUACUAACUCAUUCUCCCACUCCAGAGCGGCUUCACACUAUUGUGGUUCCAGAAGCGGCUCAUACUGAAGGACGUGGGUUUAAUCCUAAACACAUUUGCAAAAUGUGAUAUAAAAGUGCAUCGCGAGUCUUGCAAGUCAUAAAGGCAGUGCAAAUCGAUACUCGAUGACUCUACGCGCUCCAACACCACUCACCAUUCGGUAUACAAAGAACUCUUCUUUGCACUUACCUUCCCUUCAGGGAAUAUAUUCUAAUUCGAUCACCGACAUUGCUUAGAAGCAAUAUCACCGAUGCAUCGCUCCGUCGUGAGUGCUCUAAUUUCGCACUGACCCUUAACUUUAACGUGAGAUGGCCCACUUCGGCACAUCUCAAGUCUCAGUUCGCUUACGAGCAUAGUUUCCAACAUCACGUGGCUUUCCACUAGAUUGAUGUCUCACAAGGAGUACUUCAUCAUCUGAUACCACAUGCCACGGUCAAUCAUCGAACUAUUUCCGCAACGAGCUCACACGAGCGCUUCGUUCGUGAAUUCGAGUCAAACCCCUCGAUAAGGCUAUCCGCCAAAUCGCCCUCUUCGGUCUCCACAGGUGGACCAAAGGCCACCAAUCCUACGUGGGCCUACCGCCUAAACCUGUCUCAAUACGCAACGUCUCUCGCUCGCAAACGCAGACCCAAUCAUGAUCGGGCGAAACUCUCACUUGGGAAUUCGCACACACUCCAACCAGGAGCAACUAAGAUCCCAAACCGUUACAAAUUCCCUGGUUGGGUCACACUCGUACUCUCGGUGUACUAUCAAUCGCACGACACGCUCUACCGAGCCACACGUACUACUACCGGCUACUAUGCAUCUAAUGCGAGUCACCUGUCCCACGAGUGAUCCAUGGCAUGCUUCACACCUAGCAAUGCUCAAGUGCUACUGCCAACUCACUCACCCGACUGAACCAUAUCCGCACUCCACGAGUAUCUAUACUUGAACGUCAUACGCCUCCAUAGCGUUGCACACUAAGUCCAGUGUUAGGCAAUCCUGCCUAUGCAUACCGGCCGCACGAGUACAACCGCCUACCUCACCUUGAGGUACUACUAGGCCCACGUGCUCAAACUUGGCCACUAAUCGACCGUUCUCUCAACAGUGAUGCUACUUUCACUGUUUGAUCUACCGGAAUGACAUCCAAAAUUUUCGGACCACUCGGGUGUUAUCAAAUACCACGGCUCAACUCUCGUAAUCUACUAAUUAAGUUGCUCUGAGAGUCGAUUAGCCACCUCUGUCUCUAUCGCGAGUUUCACUACUCGCCAAAGGUCACUACUAGCACUUCGCUAGUGCCAUCUGGCUCUAUACCUAUACUAGCAGGUACUACGCCCUCACAACACGAGCAUGCCCGGGUAUCGAUACUUACCCGUCCACUCGGUCUCUACUAUGGUCAUGCACGACAAUAGUAAUUAACCACAUAAUCAUUGCAUACAAUGCAUGGACUUCACGUCAUGCGAAACAUAUGCUUGCAUCAAUAACCCAUACCUGCAACGAAGUCGGCAACAGCAAGGUCCUCAACCUGGGUCGCAUAUCUAUGACCACCCGGCGCUUGCCGCGAACCCUAAGGUGACAUUGUCUUUAAUGCCCCCUCUUCCGACCGGGCCGCAGGUGCCACACCUGUAGGCCGUCCCAGAGAGAAAUAGGUUGUCGCCAGUGUUAGGCCCCGGCUGUCACCUUGCAGACACUCGUCCCGCGCACAGCCCGGUUGCCCACACCUGUAGCACUUGCCCUCUCACAGCUCGCAAUACUGUGGGUAACGAAAACACCCACAAACGACACAUCUCACUAAGGACCGAACACAGUAGGUCCCCGGAACACGGAAUCACGAGCGCGAACUUAUUGCACUCACUUGAGAACUUGACGGACCAUCGAAUCCACUCGUUGGCCGUUCUAUUUCCCUUUUCCUUGCAAUUGGACUCACGCUCCCCUCGCACAAUUGCACUGCCUUGUUCUAUCCCCAAGGCCUAAUCCUCAAAGCUCCUCUAAUCCUUCUCUUUAGAAAAACUCAUGUGGAGUGAGAGAAGAAGGAACAUGGAGUUGAAGGGGUACCUCCUUGCUGUGAACAAGGAAAGAAGAGGUGUGGGGUUUAUACAAGCCGCCACAACUGCACUUAAACCCCCCAACGUUUCUUGUUUGCAGCAGAUCUCAACCUGCUGUCAGACCCAUUGUGUACCGAUACACGGGCUUUUGUACCGGUACAAAGCUGUGCAGAGGCAAACCCGAGAGCAACCUCCUCGGAUUUUACCAAAGGGUACCGGUACAAAUCAGGGGUGUACCGGUACACUUCUGCGAAAACUCAAACCCGAGAGCAAUGCUCUUCUCGGGCCACUUGCUGUACCGGUACAACCAUCAACAUGUACCGGUACACUUUCCUCCAGAACGUAGUUUUAGCUUGUUUUCGACUCCAACUAGCACCGAUAGAUGCUAAAACCAUUCUAACUCUUUUAGAGCCCAAUUCUUAUCCUUCCAACAUCGUCGGAAUGUCAAUUGGACUUUAUCCAACUAUUGCUCUCAACGCACUUUGGUCAAUUUUACUAAAGUUUGAUGUUUAUUUACCGAAAUUUCAGUACGUUACAUUCUCCCCUCCUAAAAGGAGUUUCGUUCUCAUUAUCCCGCUCUAUGUCCGGGAUGCAAUUCACGACACGGGAGAAUUCCUACUCGUAUUCCCUCACGGCGCGGUCUACCUGCCGCAGCUUCGAGAACCUUUCCUGAAGCUUUCUUUUCCAUCAUCAGGGGAGUAAACAGAGAAUACCGAUCCCCGAAACUCGUCCCAAACCACAGGAGGGAGACCAGGCAGUCGAUCCCACUCAACGCCUGUCCACCACACCUUCGUCGCGACUCCCGGCUGUACUUAACGAGCCGGAACUGGUGUGAUCACUACUAAUCCCCCAACUCUUGGAGUCUCUUAACUCGCUCCUCCCGGCAUAUGGCAGCCUUCUGCUGACACUGCACUAAUUCGGCUCAUUACCCCGCCACACACACGAGAGUGGCAAAUCGCUCGCAAAGUCUCAAGUCUCCGCUCGUCUCAAAUUGCCCAGGGACACCACUUGGCCCAACCCGCGCCGAUCUAAACAAAGAUCGCCUACGCAGUGCUGUCGUUUCCUAAAACGCGACAACUCUAUUAAUCCUCGACCUUCUAGGUCGAACACGAGACACUUAUUACCGACUCAAAUCGAGCGAAAGUCACGCAAGGGCGUCUAUUCUCAUCACACGGUUUCAUGUUGUGCGCGCCCAACACGAACACCAUCGGUUGAGAAUAAACCACACUUUAAAUCUACCUCUAAUAUCCGUUUCAGAGGUUUACGACACAACGCAAUCAAUUAACCUUUCGCCAAAAGUCACAAGUCUUCGUCUCUCACGAACCUUAAUCUCCUAUGGUUUACUAUCCUAGGGUCUUCUAGGUCCAACUAAACCAUUUUCUAUUAUUCUUUUUAUGUUCUUUUUAUGCUCUGAUACCAUCUUAUUUGUCACGCCCCGAGCCCGCCUAUUUGGCCGGUUUCGGGCACGCCGACAGACCGCCGAACGGACAGGGUUUCCCCGGUACCGCGGACAGAGUCUCCCCUGUACAUUCAAGGCGUCGCAAUCAAUACAAUGUACAAAGUUCCAACCAGGAACACAUUUCAAUCAAGGAUUGCAUAAGAAAGUAUCAAAAACAUAAUCUACUUGCUAUUACAAGCAUUCACAUUCACUAGAUACAUUUUACAUCACAAUUACUUAUUACAUUUAACUUUCAAAUACAAUCUAGCUUUUAUUACGAAUUAUUACAACUUGAUUCUUUUCAUUUUCUUACAUCCCUAAGUAAAGGCCGACUCAGGGUACCGCUAUCUCUGGUCUCAGUGGUAGGGCGCUAACUAUGAAGAUACGCCCUCGCCUCGCGCCGCCGCGCCGCUCACGUGUGAACUUGUAAUACCCCAAAACCACGUGGGGUGAGAACCAACUCCAUGGUUCCCAGUGGG